This 223-nucleotide long non-coding RNA is filed under the name Homo sapiens (human). RNAcentral describes it as "non-protein coding lnc-SLC35A4-1:1". Lineage: Eukaryota; Metazoa; Chordata; Mammalia; Primates; Hominidae. The record is from RNAcentral.
AGUUGAGACACGUCCAGGGCCAGGCGGGUUGCCGGAAUCCGUGGAGGAUGGAUGCUGGUUCACAACCGUCGGGAGCCGCUGUGGGGACCCUGCGGCAACUCCCUAAGACUCGAAGGCUCCAUCUAAUGAACCAUCAGGGCCCUGGUCACAAGGCACCAAAGGAGGUUGCUGUCCAGGAGCCAGUGCUCUAGGAGGCCUCAUCCUCUCAGGAGCAAAUUCAAAC